Molecule: non-coding RNA, 24 nt
Filed under: Rattus norvegicus (Norway rat)
Lineage: Eukaryota; Metazoa; Chordata; Mammalia; Rodentia; Muridae
Source: RNAcentral
UGCAAAUAGGCCUUACAGUAUGGU